This 301-nucleotide ribosomal RNA is filed under the name uncultured bacterium. Its description in RNAcentral is "partial 16S ribosomal RNA". It matches the Rfam family "Bacterial small subunit ribosomal RNA", at positions 509 to 807 of the family's 1533-position model. The record is from RNAcentral.
CAGCCGCCGCGGUAAAACAGAGGGUGCGAGCGUUAAUCGGAUUUACUGGGCGUAAAGCGUGCGUAGGCGGCUUCUUAAGUCGGAUGUGAAAUCCCUGAGCUUAACUUAGGAAUUGCAUUCGAUACUGGGAAGCUAGAGUAUGGGAGAGGAUGGUAGAAUUCCAGGUGUAGCGGUGAAAUGCGUAGAGAUCUGGAGGAAUACCGAUGGCGAAGGCAGCCAUCUGGCCUAAUACUGACGCUGAGGUACGAAAGCAUGGGGAGCAAACAGGAUUAGAUACCCGGGUAGUCCCUGUCUCUUAUAC